Molecule: small RNA, 192 nt
Filed under: Streptomyces sp.
Lineage: Bacteria; Bacillati; Actinomycetota; Actinomycetes; Kitasatosporales; Streptomycetaceae
Also listed under: 1 other name
Description: c-di-AMP sequence
Rfam family: c-di-AMP riboswitch aptamer (ydaO/yuaA leader)
About the family: This family represents a conserved RNA structure found upstream of the ydaO and yuaA genes in Bacillus subtilis and related genes in other bacteria. The ydaO/yuaA element is thought to act as a genetic "off" switch for the ydaO and yuaA genes in its native state.
Source: RNAcentral
UCGCGUCAAGCGCCGUAGGCAGGAGCGGGGGACCCAAGGUAAGUGCCGCGACCGGGAGUUGAGAGACGCCCGGGGACGGCUUGGGGUAAAGCCGCGCGCCGUGGUUCCGAGACGGGACCGGGGACGUGCGGCCGGGCAACUCAACCGGCCCGAACCCGACAGCUCACCUCGCAGGCGUCGGUGAGGGGAUCA